This 200-nucleotide ribosomal RNA is filed under the name uncultured bacterium. RNAcentral describes it as "partial 16S ribosomal RNA". It matches the Rfam family "Bacterial small subunit ribosomal RNA", at positions 8 to 235 of the family's 1533-position model. The record is from RNAcentral.
AGAGUUUGAUCAUGGCUCAGGACGAACGCUGGCGGUGUGCUUCACACAUGCAAGUCGAACGGGGUAGCAAUACCCAGUGGCGGACGGGUGAGUAACACGUAGGAAUCUGCCUUCAAGAGGGGAAUAACUGACCGAAAGGUUGGCUAAUACCGCAUAAGCCGAGAGGUAAAAGGAGAAAUCCGCUUGAAGAUGAGCCUGCG